This is a non-coding RNA of Caenorhabditis elegans, 63 nucleotides long. The record is from Ensembl. NCBI's taxonomy places the organism in Eukaryota, Metazoa, Nematoda, Chromadorea, Rhabditida, Rhabditidae.
GUGGCCUAGAAAAUUUAGAUUUCUAGGCCACCAAUUUCAGAUCGCCAUAACUUGGUGGAAAAU